UAAGGGCGCACGGUGGAUGCCUUGGCACUAGAAGCCGAUGAAGGACGUUACUAACGACGAUAUGCUUUGGGGAGCUGUAAGUAAGCUUUGAUCCAGAGAUUUCCGAAUGGGGAAACCCAGCAUGAGUUAUGUCAUGUUAUCGAUAUGUGAAUACAUAGCAUAUCAGAAGGCACACCCGGAGAACUGAAACAUCUUAGUACCCGGAGGAAGAGAAAGAAAAUUC
Molecule: ribosomal RNA, 223 nt
Filed under: Staphylococcus aureus
Lineage: Bacteria; Bacillati; Bacillota; Bacilli; Caryophanales; Staphylococcaceae
Description: partial 23S ribosomal RNA
Rfam family: Bacterial large subunit ribosomal RNA
Source: RNAcentral